AUACUGGUUUCUUUUGAAACCACAUUACAUUACCUGAGACCUUUUCU
This is a non-coding RNA of Papio anubis (olive baboon), 47 nucleotides long. Lineage: Eukaryota; Metazoa; Chordata; Mammalia; Primates; Cercopithecidae. The record is from Rfam.